CUUGGCUAAAUCACAUGUCCUUUGACUACUUUUUUUUCCUACUCUUCUAGAUCUUUCUAUUUUUUCAUUCUCAUUCUUCCAUAUUCCAAUAAUAAUCUUCACUCAGAACCAAAUGGGGCAAGAAAGUAUUUGGAAAGAAGCAAUCUUUUAGAAGAGGGACCAAAUGGGUAAAAAGAAGAUAAUUGAUUUUUCCCUUUCUUUGUGAAACUCGAUUAUGGGUUUCUGAUGUUGAAGUGGAAUGAUUAAAAAUUUUCAAAUCAA
Long non-coding RNA from Solanum tuberosum (potato), 261 nucleotides. RefSeq lists it as uncharacterized. The transcript is spliced from 2 exons. The record is from RefSeq and is a predicted model, not a curated record. NCBI's taxonomy places the organism in Eukaryota, Viridiplantae, Streptophyta, Magnoliopsida, Solanales, Solanaceae.